AUGUCGUUUUUGCCCACUUCCCUCGCCUUACCACCCCCUCCCCAGCAGCUGCAUGGUGGCCGGUGCGUGCAGCCGCAGGCAUCAUGUGCUUCGGCGCGUGCAUGGUGGCCGCCGGGCGUGCAGCUGCAGCAUCCGAGUGCAGCCGCCGCGUGCUGGCCCCCACAUAUGUUGGCCGAUUACGUGCUUGCCGUAGGCGUCCAAGGCCAAUGGAGGCCGCCGCCUUCAACUCGCGCUUGCCCUGCAGCCUUGAACGCCUCUGUAAAUUUCUCCGCCCAUCUCUUGCAGGAACCAUACUUCCUUCCUUCUCUCCUCCUCUUGAUUAGCAUGCUCCUUUCCAAUCCACUCCUCUCCUUUGAUUUAACACCUAGAACUUUUCAUCUUUGUGCGGAUUAUUCUGUGUAUAUGCCUACAAGCUGUAAUCAUCAACAAAUUAGGCCCCCCAAGUUCUUCCCCAAAAUAUCGCCAGUUCGGAUCAUGAUCAUUGUUACAAGUAAGCUCAGCCGGCAGACGACAUUCAUGUAUCAUAGGAAAGCAAUGUCUUCGUCUUCGUCGUCGUCGUCGUCGUCGCCGCUGUAUCUUUCUGAGCCUCACCUCACAAUUUCAAUGCAAAAUGCAGCCAUCAUCUUGGAAUUCCUUGAGAAUAUCCCUGCCAAAUGCGCCUCCUGGGUGUUCCUGUGCGGUGCCAUAAAAUUGUUCGGUCAUUCUCUCUUCCUCACGUUUUCUAACAUGGUAUCAGACCAGGACCAAACCCUAGUCCCUCUUCCAGCCGCCACCCAUGAAAUCGCCGCCGGUGAGGUGAUUCAGGCGGAUCUGUCUGGAGCUGCUCUCCAGCAGCUCCUUUGUGUGUCCUCACAGCUACUCUGUGAGAAUACUUCCCCUGCUCUCCAGCAGCCAUCUCCAGCAAGCUCUUGGUGCCUUCCCUGCUCUACAGCAAGCUCUAGGCGUUCCCCCUCCUAUCUAGCAAGAUCCAGCAAGCUCCUCCUUCUAUCCAGUGAGAUCCAGCAAGCAGCGGCCAGUCUGGUGGGUUGCUGCUCCUCUUUGUGGCUGUCUGCUGCUCAUCUCUUGUUGCUGCCUGCAGCUGCUAUCAAAUUGGGUGUUUCCAGCUGCUGGCCGCUCACCACUAUGGCAAGAAAUGAUUUCGGAUUUGGUUCUUUGAUCAUAGAUAUCAAGCUUGAUGUUUCAAACUACAGGGAAUGGGCAUUUUCUCUCCGGACUGUCUUGAGGACGGCUGGUUUUGUUUCUCAUCUGACAGAUGAUCCACCUAGUCCAAAUGAUGAUGCAGCAAGGAAGUCUUGGCAAAAGAUCGAUGAUCGUGUGAUGGGAGUUUUAAUUCUGGGUGUUGAACCCUCACUCCAAAUGAGUCUUGAGCAUCACACUUCAGCUAAAGAGAUAUGGAAGUACUUUGAGCAGCGCUACCUUCAGCCCAGCAGUGCACUUCAUUUCUCCUUGUUGCAGAAUUUACACAACACUUGGGAGCCAGAAGACAUGUCCAUAGAAGAUUACUAUGGAGCUUUCACUCGCAUCACUGGGCAGCUAGGUUCCAUGGUUCCAAAGGGUAAUUCUGGUUGUGAGUCAUGUGCAGCGAAGGAAAACUACGACCAUCAGACUCUCAUGUUUCAGUUUGUGAUGGGUCUCAAGCCAGACUUUAAGAACAUUCGCACUCAAUUGCUUGGUCGUACGACUCCUCCCACCUUGACAGAGGCACUUGCUAGCUUGAUCGCUGAGGAGACUCGUCUCCGUUCUCUUGGGACUACUUCUACGCGGACUCUACACACUAGUGUUUUGGCUUUUCCUCAGCGGCCAGGUGCCUCCAAGGCCACACCUUCAGUUGUCGUCUGCUUGUUCUGCAAGAAGGCAGGACACCAUAGAGAUGGUUGUUUCAAGCUUCAUCCAGAGCUGUUAGCCGAGUUUCAGGCUAGACGGGCCCUCAAUCAGCAGCGUCGUGCAUCCCAGGCUCCUUAUCAGCAGCAAGCGAGGGGUACUCUACCUUUUCAGGUUAACUUGAGUGUUGCGAUUAUUCCAAUGUCGCAUCAGUACGGUUGGAGCUCAUCAACUGUUGGCCUGAUUCAAUCAUUGAUUGGUGGAAGAACAGGGGAGCAAACAAGUCUGGCCGGCCGCAGCCACAACGUCGACGACAUCCAAAUCAAGUCAGCCUCCUCCGACACCUGGAUCGACCGCUGCUCCCUCGCCGACUACGACAACGAGAUCAUCGAUAUGACGCGCUAG
This 2226-nucleotide ribosomal RNA is filed under the name Triticum aestivum (bread wheat). RNAcentral describes it as "partial small subunit ribosomal RNA". Lineage: Eukaryota; Viridiplantae; Streptophyta; Magnoliopsida; Poales; Poaceae. The record is from RNAcentral.